Molecule: RNA transcript, 1922 nt
Organism: Mytilus californianus (California mussel)
Lineage: Eukaryota; Metazoa; Mollusca; Bivalvia; Mytilida; Mytilidae
Gene name: myosin-1-like
Exons: 7
Source: RefSeq, a predicted model, not a curated record
GUAGAAGAACUUUUUACUAGAUAUAAUUAUUAUAAUAAUAUAGAUAUAUUGGAAACGUAGACGAGUAAAAAUAUAAGAAAGUGCAACUUGAAAACCUUCAACUAUAACGUCUUCUGGUAAAAAUUACUGUUUCAUUUUGAAUCGGAUGAAUGUUCGAGAAUAUUCACAGUUAUAUUUGACAGUUUUAACUACUAAAACUAGCGUUGAAACAAAUGAAAUACAUAUCUAAAGAAGAUGUUUAACUUAACCUUUUCAACUCAGAAGUUAUAAGCAGAAUGGCAGCUUAACCAUUGACCACAGAAGAAAUCAAUUACCUCAGAUCUUGGUAUCUUACCUCCAUAAUUGGUACAGAUGCUGUCAAAGCAUAUUUUGACAGGGUGCAUCCACCUGCUGUUCUGGAAACACAUUUGGCAAAUGACAAAUUAGCACUGGAGUCACUAAAACAAGAUGGCAUAAUAAGCAAAGCAAUGUGGGAAAAAAUGUAUCCAAAGCCAAGAGUUAGACCAACAUCUGCAGACUUUGAUAUAACUAUCUUGAUUUGCCUUCUACGGGAAAUGAUCCAAAAAGUACAGUCUCCAAGGGGUGGAUUUGAUCACUUACCACACAAAGCUGACACAUCUGCAGGUGCUUGUUUAGCCAUCAUAAAGCAUUAUAGAAAUUUUCUGGCACAUCCUGAUCAAGAGAAACUGAGAGCUCUUUCGAGUACAAAAUUCAAUGAUCUGUUUACUCAAGUUGGAAAGGCAAUUCAAGUUCUUGGCAACAACCAGUACUCGAGUAAGAUCACAGUUGCAAAAAAGUUGAAUAUCGACAAUGAUAUUGCUCAGAUUCUGGAGAAGAUUGUAACCUAUGAAAAGCAAUUUCAAUAUUUACAGGAAGAGGUCAACAGGAAUUCCAGUCAAACAAGGUAUCAAGAGAAAAAAAUCAAAGAGCUUCAUGAAAAAUAUGAAGAAAUUGAAAAUGACCGAAUGGAAGUAAAGGAUUCUCAUCAGCAUGUCAUAGAUCAGAUGUCAGAAAUCAGAAGUAACAUAAAACUUCAGAAAGAAGCUUUGGAAAAGAGAGUUAAAGAACAAAAACAACUAGCUGCAACCCAGAUCAAGCAUGGUAAACAAAUCCAAACUCUUGAGCAAGAGGCUAGUUCAAUGAAAAAAAAACAGGAAGACCAAAGAAAGGACAUGAAGGAAUUGACAGAAAAACAUUUUGCUAUCACAAGUCACGCUGAACAGUUGGAGAAGAUAACAAGUGAGCAUAGCCAACAGCUAAGUGAGAGUGUGGAAAAAACAAACAAAUUAGCAGAAAUGGAACAAUGCAUCAUGAGACAAUUCAAACCAUUGGACAAGAACAAGAAAUACAAAGAAAGGAAGUGAACGAAUUACAAGAAAAACAGCAAUACAUGCCAAAUGAAAGAAAAAGAAAUUUAUUGGAACAGACAGAAUCAAGGAUUAGAAGAUUCAGGGAAGAUUUGAAAGACACGUUUGUAGAAACUGAGACACAGAACAAAGUUUUUGAUUUCCUAGAGAGAGAAAACUUCUUGGUAAUUAUAUCAAAAGGAGGCCGUGGGAAAACAGCAUUGAGUCUACAGUUAGCUGUGCAAUUUAAAGAUAAAGGGUUCACACCAAUGUACAUGGUAAACAAUGAAAUUGAAACGAUGAGAGAUCUAAUAGAUUAUAAAUGUAAAAUUUUCAUUAUAGUUGAUGAUCUUUUUGGUCAAACAAACUCACAUAUUAAUGAACAUACGUUAAACGUUAUCUACGAUUCUGUUCGCAGUGAGAAUUCUCAAAGCAAAGUUAUAUUGAACAUAAGGGAAAGUCCAGGCUGUAACAAAAGUAUUUUAGAGAGUCAAUCAAUACUAAGGGAAACUAAAGUUAUGAAUUUAGAUAAUGAAACUUAUGAUUUAAGUCAGUCUGAAAAAAGGGAAAUAUUAU